Molecule: transfer RNA, 69 nt
Filed under: Camelus bactrianus (Bactrian camel)
Lineage: Eukaryota; Metazoa; Chordata; Mammalia; Artiodactyla; Camelidae
Also listed under: 1 other name
Rfam family: tRNA
About the family: Transfer RNA (tRNA) molecules are approximately 80 nucleotides in length. Their secondary structure includes four short double-helical elements and three loops (D, anti-codon, and T loops). Further hydrogen bonds mediate the characteristic L-shaped molecular structure. tRNAs have two regions of fundamental functional importance: the anti-codon, which is responsible for specific mRNA codon recognition, and the 3' end, to which the tRNAs corresponding amino acid is attached (by aminoacyl-tRNA synthetases). tRNAs cope with the degeneracy of the genetic code in two manners: having more than one tRNA (with a specific anti-codon) for a particular amino acid; and 'wobble' base-pairing, i.e. permitting non-standard base-pairing at the 3rd anti-codon position.
Source: Rfam by way of RNAcentral
GUGGGUAUAGCUCAGUGGUAGAGCACGUGCGCGUACGUGAGGUCCUGGGUUCAAUUCCCAGCAACUCUA